RNAcentral lists this long non-coding RNA (2958 nucleotides) under Homo sapiens (human). Its description in RNAcentral is "HSALNT0272385". Lineage: Eukaryota; Metazoa; Chordata; Mammalia; Primates; Hominidae. The record is from RNAcentral.
GGCUUUUACUCUCUCUCUGGGCGUGAGUGAGCCUGGGUGUCAGCCGCAGGUGCAAACCGCAAGCUGUAUGUACAGCCUUAAGUAGAGUAAUUACACCUUUACAGACAAUAGUGGCUGUGAGCCAAGUACGAGCUCAGAUGAGUGAUCACCUAAUGCACCUCACGUGGCAUGGUUAUAUAACAAGCAGAGUUGUGCGCCUGCAUUCCAAACCCUGCUAAGUCAUGCUGCACCAGGCAGCCACCUCAGACUACUACUGAGUAAAGCACAGCCAUUUCCUUCACAGUGCUGGAGGAAGGGAGGUGCAGCUUUGGCUCAGCUCUUAACAGUGCAACAUCUAGUGCCUCUAUAGUUCUCUUGGACACAGAUGGCUGCUUUCGAAGAAGAAAGAAGUGGAAAGUGAUGGAGUUUCUAUGCUCCAGCUCUCUUUGCCUGCUGCCAUCCACGUAAGAUGUGACUUGCUCCUCUUUGCCUUCUGCCAUAAUUGUGAGCCCCCCUCAGCCAUGUGGAAUGAUGGAAAACAGAACAAGCCAUGGAGGCCCCAGGGAUCAGGCAGGGCCAAGAGGAUCUGAUGGCGGAAGGGGGAGCACAUCAACAAGACCUUACAAGGCAACUUGCAUGGAUGCUCUGAAGCAACUUUGAGGUCUCCUUGAUGAGGAAAGUUGGCUCAACCUGCUGUAGAGUAGGCCCACAGCCAAGCCAUUGAGAGACAAGUCCAUGGGAGACAAAUUAGCUCAUGCAGCUGAGAUGUCCUGGAGAUUUUCCACAGCACCACUUGGCCAGUGCCUAGACAAGGCUUCCGAGGCGAUCCGGCAACAUCAGUCUUCAGCCGCUAAGCCAAGAAGAUCUGGGAAGGAGUCAAUCAGAGAGCCUUGGGCCAGAGUUCCAGGGGCUGUGGAAGUGGCUGCCAGGUGAGUUGAACAGUCCGAUUUUCAGUGGGGUCCUACACAGAUGGGACACAGCUUAGGAGGAAUCCUGGGCUGUGGGCAUUCCUUGGCCUAGUGGCCAGAUUUCUGGCACUUGUAGCAAGCUCCUGGGGGAGGAGGUUCUGGAGGAACCCCUGGCAGCUGCGGUUUGGGCGUUUGGAGUUCUUGUGUGCUGGAGAUGUGGCUGGGGUUUGUCUCACAGUGGAGGCAAGAAAUUGCAACUCAGAAAUACAUUGCUACUUGGCUGCCUCUACUCUAUUAUUGUAUAACUUGAAGGUGAGGUUAAUUAAGUCCUGUUGUGAGGUUUGAGGGCCGGAAUUUAAUUUUUGGAGUUUUAUUUAAUGUCAGGAGCGGAUUGGGUAAUAAAAUGUAUAUUGAGAAUAAGACGGCCUUUUGACAUUUUAGGGUCUUGGGCUGUAAAGCGUCUCAGGGUUGCUGCCGAACGAGCCAUGAACUGGGCUGGGUUUUUCAUAUUUGAUGAAAGAGCCUAAAUGCUAACUGAUUUGGGAGAGGUCGGAUAAAGAAAAAGAAGCAUUAACCUUGACUAUGCCUUUAGCUCCAGCCUCCUUUUUAAGAGGAAAUUGCUGGUCAGGUGGAGGAGGGCUAGUCGCGUCGCGGAACGAAACUAUAAGCCGGACUGGGUGUGAGGAGGGGAGGUGAUAAAAGGAUUAUAGGGUGGGGGAGCAGAGGCUGAGGAAGAAUUGGGACCUGGCUUGACCUGGCUUGGCCUGGCGAGGAGCAGCCUGGGGAGGAGGAGAGAGGUCAGAUGGGUCUGUAGAAAAGGAAGAUUAGAAAGACUCAGCGACGCUUGGGGUUGGGACUGAGAGGACAGGCGGGAGGGAAAGAAGGAGGAUUUGGGAUGAGUCACAUUGGGAACAGAGAGUACGGAGAGAACAAUGUGUAAAAGAAUGCCUGGACGUCAGGCACCUCAGACCAUUUGCCCAUUUUACGACAAGAAUUAUCGAGAUCUUGUGGGAUGGAAAAAUCGAAAGUGCCGUUCUGUGGCUAUUUUAGAGCCUUUGUCAAGUUUGUAUUGGGGCCAAGCGGUGUUGCAGAAUAAAAUAAGAUGCUUAGAUUUUAGGUCAGGCGAGAGUUGAAGAGGUUUUAAGUUCUUAAGAACACAGGCUAAGAGAGAAGAAGGAGGAAUGGAGGGUGGAAGGUUGCCCAUAGUGAAGGAGGCAAGUUUAAAGAGAAGGGUAGAGACACGGAGAAGGGGGUGGGGAGCAGCCCUGGGCUGCAACGUGGGUGAGCAGCCAAAGCAGGCGUCCUUGCAAUUGACUUGCCACCAAGGGAACAUGGGCGAAUGAUCAAGGAAGGCACCCCUGCGGAGAUCAGACACCAGUGGAACGUGGGUGAAUAAUCCAAGAGGCAUCUCGGCGAUGAUUAAACACCAAGGUAAGGCUGUCUUCCCGAGUCCGUGACCGGCGCCGGAGUUUUGGGUCCACAGAUAAAAUGUGUCUCCUUUGUCUCUACCCGAAAAUGAAAGGAACUGAAAUUAACAGAAGGGAGAGAUUGAAGUGUGGCGCCAAGCUUGAAAGGAGAAAGAGGUUGAGGGAUAGUGAGGGAGGUUGGAGAAGAGAGUAAAAAGAGGCCGCUUACUGGAUUUGAAAUUGGUGAGAUGUUCCUUGGGCUGGUCAGUCUGAGGACCUGAGGUUGUAGGUGGAUCUUUCUCAUGGAGCAAAGAGUAGGACAGGGGAUUGAUCUCCCAAGGGAGGUCCCCUGAUCCCAGUCACGGCACCAAAUUUCACUCGCGUCCGUGUGAAGAGACCACCAAACAGGAUUUGUGUGAGCAACAAGGCUGUUUAUUUCACCUGGAUGCAGGCGGGCUGAGUCUGAAAAGAGAGUCAGUGAAGGGAGAUAGGGGUGGUGCCGUUUUAUAGGAUUUGGGUAGGUAAAGGAAAAUUAGUCAAAGGGGGUUGUUCUCUGGCUGGCAGGAGUGGGAGGUCACAAGGUGCUCAGUAGGGGAGCUUUUGAGCCAGGAUGAGCCAGGAGAAGGAAUUUCACAAGAUAAUGUCAUCAGUUAAGGCAGGAACAG